Molecule: microRNA, 21 nt
Filed under: Zea mays
Lineage: Eukaryota; Viridiplantae; Streptophyta; Magnoliopsida; Poales; Poaceae
Description: miRNA zma-miR159a
Source: RNAcentral
CUUUGGAUUGAAGGGAGCUCU